AUUGAACGCUGGCGGCAGGCCUAACACAUGCAAGUCGAACGGUAACAGGAAGAAGCUUGCUUGUUUGAUGACGAGUGGCGGGCGGGUGAGUAAGGCCUGGGAAAGUGCCUGGUGGAGGGGGAUAAGUACUGGAAACGGUAGGUAAUAACGUAUAAUGUGGGAAGAGGAAGGGGGGGGAGCUUCGGGCCUCUCAGCCUCGGAUGGGGCGAGAUCGGAUUAGGUAGUUGGAGGGGUAAAGGCAGACCUAGGCGACGAUCGGUAGCUGGUCUGAGAGGAUGAACAGCCACACUGGAACUGAGACACGGUCCAGACUCCUACGGGAGGCAGCAGUGGGGAAUAUUGGACAAUGGGCGAAAGCCUGAUCCAGCCAUGCCGCGUGUAUGAAGAAGGCCUUCGGGUUGUAAAGUACUUUCAGUGGGGAGGAAGGGAGUUAAGUUAAUACCUUGCUUCAUUGACGUUACCCACAGAAUAAGCACCGGCUAACUCCGUG
RNAcentral lists this ribosomal RNA (490 nucleotides) under uncultured bacterium. RNAcentral's name for it is "partial 16S ribosomal RNA". It matches the Rfam family "Bacterial small subunit ribosomal RNA", at positions 29 to 507 of the family's 1533-position model. The record is from RNAcentral.